Molecule: ribosomal RNA, 425 nt
Filed under: uncultured bacterium
Lineage: Bacteria
Description: bacterial SSU rRNA
Rfam family: Bacterial small subunit ribosomal RNA
Source: RNAcentral
GUGGGGAAUAUUGGACAAUGGGCGAAAGCCUGAUCCAGCAAUGCCGCGUGAGUGAUGAAGGCCCUAGGGUUGUAAAGCUCUUUUACCCGGGAAGAUAAUGACUGUACCGGGAGAAUAAGCCCCGGCUAACUCCGUGCCAGCAGCCGCGGUAAUACGGAGGGGGCUAGCGUUGUUCGGAAUUACUGGGCGUAAAGCGCACGUAGGCGGCUUUGUAAGUCAGAGGUGAAAGCCUGGAGCUCAACUCCAGAACUGCCUUUGAGACUGCAUCGCUUGAAUCCAGGAGAGGUCAGUGGAAUUCCGAGUGUAGAGGUGAAAUUCGUAGAUAUUCGGAAGAACACCAGUGGCGAAGGCGGCUGACUGGACUGGUAUUGACGCUGAGGUGCGAAAGCGUGGGGAGCAAACAGGAUUAGAAACCCCAGUAGUCC